UACGGAGGGUGCAAGCGUUGUCCGGAUUUAUUGGGUUUAAAGGGUGCGUAGGCGGCCCGUUAAGUCAGUGGUGAAAGCCUCCAGCUCAACUGGAGAACUGCCAUUGAUACUGGCGGGCUUGAGUACAGACGAGGUUGGCGGAAUUUGUUGUGUAGCGGUGAAAUGCUUAGAUAUCGUCAAGAACACCGAUAGCGAAGGCAGCUUACUAGGCUGUAACUGACGCUGAGGCACGAAAGUGUGGGGAUCAAACAGG
RNAcentral lists this ribosomal RNA (253 nucleotides) under uncultured bacterium. Its description in RNAcentral is "partial 16S ribosomal RNA". It matches the Rfam family "Bacterial small subunit ribosomal RNA", at positions 524 to 776 of the family's 1533-position model. The record is from RNAcentral.